AGUUUAACUUCAUCGAGAGUUUAGGAAAAUGUGUUUGAUAAUUGAGCUUUAGCUUCAAGAUUUUGGUUUGUUGUUUGUGGAGAAGAUCUAAUAUUAAACAUGCUUCAAAUAAAAACAUCAGAAUGUUGUAAUAAUAUCAUACAAAAGUGUUAAGAUGAAGCACAUCAGAAUUACAAAUAGAGGAAAUGAAGAAAGCUCUUUACCACAGAAUAUUUGCUUCCACUAUUUUAAUUUGUCACACCUGUCUGAGCAGUGAGGAGGAAACCUGAUGAUAUGUAGAGCUGAGCUCCAUGUGACUGACUGUGUGUGUUUGCAUAUGUGUCCUGCCUCUCUGCUCCAGCUGUUAAGAGGUCAGAGUUGAUCAGUGGCUGUCCAGGCUUUUCAGAGCCACUGACACACCAGCAGCACAAUGAUGAUGUCACUGACUCUACUGCUGACCAUCAUGGGGCUCCUGGUUCAGGGUUCCUCAGCAGUCAUCACCCUGACUCAGACUCCAGGAUCUCAGUCUGUUACUCCAGGACAGACUGUCUCCUUUAGCUGUAAAGCCAGUUCACCUGUUGAUGAUGAUUUGCACUGGUACCUUCAGAAACCUGGAGCAGCUCCAAAGCUCCUUAUCUAUUCCGCUUCUUCACGUUGGACUGGAGUGUCUGAUCGUUUCACUGGAAGUGGAUAUGAUAUUGAUUUCACUCUGACCAUCAGCAGAGUUCAGGACGAAGAUGCAGGAGUUUAUUACUGUCAACAUAGUGAGAACUUCCCGUUCACACAGUGAUGCAACGUCGUACA
This is a non-coding RNA of Xiphophorus hellerii (green swordtail), 783 nucleotides long. Lineage: Eukaryota; Metazoa; Chordata; Actinopteri; Cyprinodontiformes; Poeciliidae. The record is from the annotation of a RefSeq genome assembly.